Molecule: ribosomal RNA, 216 nt
Filed under: bacterium
Lineage: Bacteria
Description: partial 16S ribosomal RNA
Rfam family: Bacterial small subunit ribosomal RNA
Source: RNAcentral
AAGGCGGAAUCGCUAGUAAACGCAGGUCAGCUAUACUGCGUUGAAUACGUUCCCGGGUCUUGUACACACCGCCCGUCAAGUCACCUGAAUUGUCUUCACCCGAAGCCCGUGGCCUAACCUGCAAAGGAAGGAGCGGUCGAAGGUGAGGGGGGUAAGGGGGACUAAGUCGUAACAAGGUACCCGUACCGGAAGGUGUGGGUGGAUCACCUCCUUAAA